This is a long non-coding RNA of Cygnus atratus (black swan), 2380 nucleotides long. RefSeq lists it as uncharacterized. The transcript has 9 exons. The record is from RefSeq and is a predicted model, not a curated record. Lineage: Eukaryota; Metazoa; Chordata; Aves; Anseriformes; Anatidae.
CCCCCUCAGCUCCUCUCACGGGCAGCCCCCACCUCAAGGCCCCGCCCUUCGCCGCGGUGCGACGCCAGCGCGGGAGCGCGCAGCCCCCAGGCGUCUCCUCACGGCCGAGGGGAAAGAAGGGGGAAAGCAGCCGCUGUCCUCCCACCCGCCUCUCAGGGAGUGGUCGGUGGCCCAUGGAGCACCCGCCCCUCACGGGGAAGCGGCGACAGGGAGGCUCCGCCGCUGGAGCCCGCCCGCCUCUCACGUUGGGCCGCCGGCCCCCGGCCCGCCCGCCCCUCAGAGGGGUCGCGGCCAGCCGGGCCCGCCGAGGCGUGAGGAAGCGGCCGCCCCCCGUGAGAGCGGCGGCCCCGCCGCGCGCCCCGGAGUUCUUUUGUGCAGUGUUGGCUGUUCAAAUCCAUCAAAUCCAUUUGUAUCACAGGGAAUCAUCAAUGCAAGAAAACAAGAUGGAAAAUUGUGCACAGAGCUCCUGCUGUUAGAGUCAGCCAGGAGUAACAGUCAUCAAGGUCACGACUCCACAAGACCCUGCGAGGCAAUCCAUCUUUGCACGCCAUCGGCAUACUCAUGAGCAGGAAGCAGAUCAAAGGCUUUUUGAAAGAAGGGGAAUAUUUCCUGAAUGGUUCAAGUGCAUAGCAACAUGAUGUAAUUCAUAACAUAAAUGCAAUUUCUGAAUGUUCCUCUUAUCCUGGAGCUUGGCAGGAACUGUAUUUCACUGGCAAUUGAUUUAAGCGAAGAAGAAUAUAAUAGAGGAAGAAGCAGAAGAUGAAAUUUGGUUUGGGAGAGUACCAAGGAAGGAGGAAAAGAAGCUACAACUAACAUCUCCUAAACAGGUCACAUGAAACUGGAGAUGCCCCUUCACUGAAAUGCAACCAGGAGACUCCAGCUGCAGGGCCAAAGCACUGCCUGCUGCACAAGUUUACCUGAAAAUAAAUAAGAUAGUGUAAGACCUGCAGAUUGUUAAAUGAAGUUAAUAACAAGUUCAAAAGAAGGGGAGGCACUUCUUCCAUGUAACACACAGCUAAGGUCUGAUGGUACAAUAGUUUUGAUGCAGUCUGGGAAAUGUGUUAACUGCGGGGCUGCUGAACCUGUCAGACUUCCCUCAGGAACCUCUUUGGAGCAAAGAACUUCUGGAAGAUCUUUUCCUUUUAUAAGGAUUCCCUAAAUGCGAAGAAACUGGCAGCAUGAAGAAUGACUUCCAUAGCAAUCCCAGUGGAUGCAGACACGAAGGACCAAUGCACAAACCCAAAGCAGCCCCUGUCCGCAGGCAGUGUGCUUCUGUGCACAGACCAGGCUGAGGUCUGGUUUCGGGCAUCUGCAGCUCUAUCUCCUCCUGCCACCUGGGUUUUCUGUCAGUCCCUUUUCUGCACAGUACAUCAGUUCACAGACACUUCUGCAACAGCCAGCUUCCUUUUACCUCCACUGUGAUAAAGGAUUUUCCAGAAAGAUUUAAAAAGGAAAAAAGAUUUUUUUUCUAACACACUGUUAAUAAUGUUAGUAUUUCUAGAGUACAUUUCAUUGACAAUCAGUAUUAAGUCUGUAUUGAAAUGCCAUCUUAUUUUAAAAUGCAGACAAAAUCUUGUGGGUUUUGUGUGUUUGUGUGUGUGUGUGUGUGUGUGUGUGUUCAGAACACAUAAUAAUGGAAGACAGAUAGCAUUUAAUUAUGCCAUUCAUUUUGUGAGCGUAAGGCUGCUGUUUGUUUUAGUCAAACAUCCUGCUACAAAAAGCCAUCAAUAGAUGUGACUCAUUACCUUUCCUACCUUGGCCAAAUAUUGUGCCCAACAAUUUGGCCCCCUAAACAAGCUGGAGGACCUCUGACCUAGAUGCAGGACAAGUGGGCAUCUCUGAAGCAGGUGGUAGGUGCUGGAGAGCACUAGGACAGCCCAGCAAGCACAUGGCCUGUGGCACAAGGUCCCAAGCAGUUCUGAGGAGAGCAAUCCUACUUACAUAGAUUCCUCCGGGACAGCUUCCCUAGCCUGGGGGAAACAGCCUGGCAACAUGAAGACAGGUUUUGCAAAGAUUUGUACAUUUGUUAAGCUGUUCUUUUUUCCUCGGUUUUCUGAGGAAAAUUAAAGUUACUUGCAGCAAUUAAUAGUUAGGUGAAAUCAGAAGAAUUUCUGCCUGUGAGACCCCACCAUACUUUCAGUCUUUCAUCACAGCCACUGCAGUGGACUGGAAAAGCUGAGGGGCAGUCUCCUUGAAGAGCUCCCCCUGGGAAGGGCUCGGAGACAGCGGGGGUGCCAUUUUCAGCAGUGCCUUUCCAGACCCGGUCUGGAAAAACAGGAGCAGCUUAGAACAAGUGGUGCAAUACAUGGAAUGUGAUACUGCAGUCACUGAGCCGCCUAAUCCCCGAUCUACACAUCUGUCCUCUUAGGCUUUUGAGGUC